GCAUGAGACAUGCAAGUCGAACGGACGAUCGAGGCUUGCUUCGAUCGUUAGUGGCGGACGGCUGAGUAACGCGUAGGUGACCUGCCCCGAAGUGGGGAAUAACUGCCCGAAAGGGUGGCUAAUACCGCAUGUGGUGGUGUGUUCAAUCACACCAGUAAAGCCGCAAGGCGCUUCGGGAGGGGCCUGCGUCCGAUUAGCUCGUUGGUGGGGUAACGGCUCACCAAGGCGACGAUCGGUAGGUGGUCUGAGAGGACGAUCACCCAGACUGGGACUGAGACACGGCCCAGACUCCUACGGGAGGCAGCAGUCGGGAAUUUUGCGCAAUGGACGAAAGUCUGACGCAGCAACGCCGCGUGAGGGAUGAAGGCCUUCGGGUUGUAAACCUCUUUUGUCAGGGAAGAUAAUGACGGUACCUGACGAAUAAGUCACGGCUAACUACGUGCCAGCAGCCGCGGUAAUACGUAGGUGACAAGCGUUGUCCGGAUUUACUGGGCGUAAAGAGCGCGCAGGCGGUCGUUCAAGUCGAGUGUGAAAGCCCCCGGCUCAACUGGGGAGGGUCAUUCGAUACUGAUCGACUCGAAGGCAGGAGAGGGAAGUGGAAUUCCCGGUGUAGUGGUGAAAUGCGUAGAUAUCGGGAGGAACACCAGUGGCGAAGGCGACUUCCUGGCCUGUUCUUGACGCUGAGGCGCGAAAGCUA
Molecule: ribosomal RNA, 697 nt
Filed under: uncultured soil bacterium
Lineage: Bacteria
Description: bacterial SSU rRNA
Rfam family: Bacterial small subunit ribosomal RNA
Source: RNAcentral